GGAAAAGACGUUGAUGAAAGGAUGGACGUUUUACCUCAGGACGGUUGGUGAAGAAAAAUUAUAAAAGAAGACGACAGAACUACAACAAAACCCAUAGCUACUAAGACAUGAAGGGAAAUACAUGUUUUAUUUAAUAAAAGAGUUGUUAUAAUUUAGUUAAAACUUAGUAAAGACUGAAUCUACCGUCUCGUUGUGGAGGUAUUAGCCAGCAUUGAGGUUAGCCUAGCAUCGUGUCACACCGGGAGAUAAUUGCUUGGGAAGCUUAAAGAGUUCGUGUUGCCAUGGGGAUAUCGGUUACGGCUAAGGAGUACUGUCUGCAUGGGUAGCUGUGCUUGCCUUGGACUUGGUGAGGAAACCAGCAUGGAACUGCCAUACUUCGCUGAGGGAAUAUCCACCAAGUAGCUGUCAGGCUGUCUAGUCACAGAGGAAGGCUGUGCUUCUCUGGUCUCAGCUCUGAGGUCAAACCCCUCACACCUGAGAGAGCUGGACCUGAGCUACAAUCACCCAGGAGACUCAGGAGUCAGACUGCUCUCUGCUGGACUGGAGGAUCCACACUGCAGACUGGAGAAACUCAAUGUGGAACAUGGUGGAGAGAACAGAAUGAAACCUGGACUUAGAAAAUAUGUCUGUGAUCUCACACUGGACCUAAACACAGUAAACAGACACCUCUCUCUGUCUGAGGAGAACAGAAAGGUGACAUGUAGGAGAGAGAAGCAGCCGUAUCCUGAUCACCCAGAGAGAUUUGAGGACUGGAGACAGGUGCUGUGUGGAGAGGGUUUGACUGGGCGCUGUUACUGGGAGGUAGAGUGGAGUGGGAGAGGGGAGGUUGAGUGGAGUGGGGGGGCUGUUAUAGGAGUGACAUAUAAAGGAAUCAACAGGAGAGGAGUGGUUAAGUACUGUUGUCUUGGAUCCAAUGACAAGUCCUGGAGUCUGUUCUGCUAUGACAACAGUUACUCUGCCUGUCACAAUAAUAACUCCACUACCAUAGACGUCCCCUCCUCCAGCUCCCACAGAGUAGGAGUGUAUCUGGACUGGUCAGCCGGCACUCUGUCCUUCUAUAGAGCCUCCUCUGACACACUGACCCACCUGAUCACAUUCACCUCCACAUUCACUGAGCCCCUCUAUCCAGGGUUUUGGGUUUAUUCUGUUGGCUCUUCAGUGUCCCUGAAAUAAUAACUGGACACACACACACACACACACACACACACACACACACACACACACACACACACACACACACACACACACACACACACACACACACACACACACACACACACACACACUGGACAAACACACACACACACACACUGGACAAACACACACACACUGGACACACACACAAACACACACACACAAACACACACAAACACACACACACACACUGGACACACAAACUGGGCACACACACACUGGACACACACACACACUGGAACACACACACACACACACACACACACACACUGAACACACACUGAACACACACUGAACACACACAAACUGGACACAAAAUGGACACACACACUCAACACACACACUGAACAAACACACACAAACACAUUCUGGACACACGCACACUGGACAAACGAAAACACACACACACUCACACACAUACACACACACACACUGGACACACACACACACACACACACACACACACACACUGGACACACACACACACACACACACACACACACACACACACACACUGGUCAAACAAAAAUACACACACACACACACACACACACACUGGACACACACACACACACACACUGGACAAACAAAGUGGACAAACACACACACUGGACACACACUCACACAAACACUGGACACACACACACACACACACACACACUGGUCAAACAAAAAUACACACACACACACACACUGGACACACACACACACACACACUGGACAAACAAAGUGGACAAACACACACACUGGACACACACACACACAAACACUGGAUACACACAGACACACACACACUGGACACACACACUAGACAAACACACACACACACACACUGGACUCACACACACACACUGGACACACACACACACUGGACACACACACACACACACUGGACACACACACACACACACUGGACACACACACACACACACUGGACACACACACACACACACUGGACACACACACACACACUGGACACACACACACACACACUGGACACACACACACACACUGGACACACACACACACACACUGGACACACACACACACACUGGACACACACACACACACUGGACACACACACACACACUGGACACACACACACACACACUGGACACACACUGGACAAACACACACACACUGGACACACACUGGACAAACACACACACACACACACACUGGACAAACACACACACACACACACACUGGACAAACACACACACACACACACUGGACAAACACACACACACACUGGACAAACACACACACACACUGGACACACACACACACUGGACACACACACACACACACUGGACACACACACACACACACUGGACACACACACACACACACUGGACACACACACACACACUGGACACACACACACACACUGGACACACACACACACACACACACACACACACACACACUGGACACACACACACACACACACACUGGACAAACACACACACACACACACACUGGACAAACACACACACACACACACACACUGGACAAACACACACACACACACACACACUGGACAAACACACACACACACACACUGGACAAACACACACACACACACACUGGACAAACACACACACACACACACUGGACAAACAGUAACAUUCUCAGAACAUACUGCACUUGUUUUAUCCUGUUUUAGAUGUAUCCUCUGUUUAAACAUUUAAACUCUUACAAUAACACUGUUAAAAUACCAAUGUGAUCAUUUCUUGUCUUUUAUGUUGGAAAAACAAAUUGUACAAUUAUAUGUGGACAUACGCUCCAUAGUUGUACAAGUAUAUAUGAUUAUAUUGUACUUUUCAUAAUAAAACAUAUUUGAAA
This 3042-nucleotide long non-coding RNA is filed under the name Salmo salar (Atlantic salmon). RNAcentral describes it as "lncRNA (ENSSSAG00000101222.1)". Lineage: Eukaryota; Metazoa; Chordata; Actinopteri; Salmoniformes; Salmonidae. The record is from RNAcentral.